GUGAGGAAUAUUGGUCAAUGGACGCAAGUCUGAACCAGCCAUGCCGCGUGCAGGAUGACGGCUCUAUGAGUUGUAAACUGCUUUUGUACGAGGGUAAUAUCAGAUACGUGUAUCUGCUUGAAAGUAUCGUACGAAUAAGGAUCGGCUAACUCCGUGCCAGCAGCCGCGGUAAUACGGAGGAUCCAAGCGUUAUCCGGAUUUAUUGGGUUUAAAGGGUGCGUAGGCGGUUUUAUAAGUUAGAGGUGAAAAUUCGGGGCUCAACUCCGGACGUGCCUCUAAUACUGUAUGACUAGAGAAUAGAUGCGGUAGGCGGAAUGUAUGGUGUAGCGGUGAAAUGCGUAGAGAUCAUACAGAACACCGAUUGCGAAGGCAGCUUACCAAACUAUAUCUGACGUUGAGGCACGAAAGCGUGGGGAGCAAACAGG
RNAcentral lists this ribosomal RNA (425 nucleotides) under uncultured Alistipes sp. RNAcentral describes it as "bacterial SSU rRNA". It matches the Rfam family "Bacterial small subunit ribosomal RNA", at positions 354 to 776 of the family's 1533-position model. The record is from RNAcentral. Lineage: Bacteria; Pseudomonadati; Bacteroidota; Bacteroidia; Bacteroidales; Rikenellaceae.